GACGAACCGUGCGAACGUUGUUCGGAAUCACUGGGCUUAAAGGGCGCGUAGGCGGCGCACCAAGUCCGGGGUGAAAGCCCCCAGCUCAACUGGGGAAGGGCCUCGGAUACUGGCGCGCUCGAGGGGGAUAGGGGCGGACGGAACUUCCGGUGGAGCGGUGAAAUGCGUUGAUAUCGGAAGGAACGCCGGUGGCGAAAGCGGUCCGCUGGGUCCCUGCUGACGCUGAGGCGCGAAAGCCAGGGGAGCAAAC
This 250-nucleotide ribosomal RNA is filed under the name uncultured bacterium. RNAcentral's name for it is "partial 16S ribosomal RNA". It matches the Rfam family "Bacterial small subunit ribosomal RNA", at positions 524 to 773 of the family's 1533-position model. The record is from RNAcentral.